GACGAACGCUGGCGGCGUGCUUAACACAUGCAAGUCGAACGGAAAGGCCCUGCUUGCAGGGUCCUCGAGUGGCGAACGGGUGAGUAACACGUGGGUGAUCUGCCCUGCACUUCGGGAUAAGCCUGGGAAACUGGGUCUAAUACCGGAUAGGAGCCAUUUUUAGUGUGAUGGUUGGAAAGUUUUUUCGGUGUAGGAUGAGCUCGCGGCCUAUCAGCUUGUUGGUGGGGUAAUGGCCUACCAAGGCGGCGACGGGUAGCCGGCCUGAGAGGGUGGACGGCCACAUUGGGACUGAGAUACGGCCCAGACUCCUACGGGAGGCAGCAGUGGGGAAUAUUGCACAAUGGGCGCAAGCCUGAUGCAGCGACGCCGCGUGGGGGAUGACGGCCUUCGGGUUGUAAACUCCUUUCGCCAGGGACGAAGCUUUUUGUGACGGUACCUAGAGAAGAAGCACCGGCUAACUACGUG
RNAcentral lists this ribosomal RNA (465 nucleotides) under uncultured bacterium. RNAcentral's name for it is "partial 16S ribosomal RNA". It matches the Rfam family "Bacterial small subunit ribosomal RNA", at positions 28 to 507 of the family's 1533-position model. The record is from RNAcentral.